RNAcentral lists this ribosomal RNA (499 nucleotides) under uncultured Gammaproteobacteria bacterium. RNAcentral describes it as "bacterial SSU rRNA". It matches the Rfam family "Bacterial small subunit ribosomal RNA", at positions 947 to 1446 of the family's 1533-position model. Lineage: Bacteria; Pseudomonadati; Pseudomonadota; Gammaproteobacteria. The record is from RNAcentral.
UAAUUCGAUGCAGCGCGAAGAACCUUACCUACCCUUGACAUACAGCGAAUUUUCUAGAGAUGGAGAAGUGCCUUCGGGAACGCUGAUACAGGUGCUGCAUGGCUGUCGUCAGCUCGUGUCGUGAGAUGUUGGGUUAAGUCCCGUAACGAGCGCAACCCUUAUCCUUAGUUGCCAGCGAGUAAUGUCGGGAACUCUAAGGAGACUGCCGGUGACAAACCGGAGGAAGGCGGGGACGACGUCAAGUCAUCAUGGCCCUUACGGGUAGGGCUACACACGUGCUACAAUGGCCGGUACAGAGGGCAGCGAAGGGGCGACCUGGAGCGAAUCUUAUAAAGCCGGUCGUAGUCCGGAUUGGAGUCUGCAACUCGACUCAUGAAGUCGGAAUCGCUAGUAAUCGCGAAUCAGCAUGUCGCGGUGAAUACGUUCCCGGGCCUUGUACACACCGCCCGUCACACCAUGGGAGUGGGCUGCACCAGAAGCAGAUAGUCUAACCUUCGGG